GCAAUACUCGUGUUUGGUCUACCGAGGCACUUCAGGCUUUUGAAUUUCUUAAAACUACGUUCGCCUCUGCACCUAUUUUACAGCAUCCUGUCCCCUCUCUGCCCUAUAUUCUUGAAGUUGAUGCUUCGGAUAUUGGGGUAGGUGCUGUCUUAUCCCAAAGAGAGUCGCCUGAGAAGCCAUUGCAUCCAUGCGGCUUCUUUUCU
Molecule: non-coding RNA, 203 nt
Organism: Pelobates cultripes (western spadefoot toad)
Lineage: Eukaryota; Metazoa; Chordata; Amphibia; Anura; Pelobatidae
Source: the annotation of a GenBank genome assembly